UUAACAUAAUAAGGGUCUAUUAUUUAUUCAAACAUAACAAGACAUCAAAUACCCUCUUAAAACUACAAUUUAUAAGGGCAAAAGAGUGAAAUCACAGGCACUGCUAAAAAAAAAAAGAAGAAGAAGAAGAGAAGAAAAGGCAAGAAGUUUCAGUAAAUUCCCCAACUAAGGGUUAAUCGUAAUUGAACAUAACCCCCCCUUAUCCCUAAACCCUUGUCGUCUUCCCCUCCCUUGUUCCUCGACACCGUGCAGCCGUCGUAGUUGUCGGACUGCAACUAAGGUAAACAUGGAAGACUAUGCAGUGUAUGGAAGGGCUGGAUUGGACAAAGAUAAAGUAAUCUUAAGUAUCAACGUUACUACAUUCAUAAAUCCACAUGUACUCCAAACAUGAUUAACCAUGUUUCUGUGUUUGCUUCUACUGGAGAAGCCUCCAAUUUUGACGAGGACCUAUGACUUUCUUCAAAGGCUUAUUACAGGGCUAUUAUCGAAUAUGGUGGAAGUACAGAGCUUGCAUCUUUAUACAUUCAAGGAAAUUUUCUGCAACCACAAGCCUUUGGAGUAUUUAGCGUAGCAUCAAUAACAACUGGUUUUGUCAUCCUUGAUGAACAUGGAGUUCCUUAUCAAGAUGAUCAACCUUGUGUUGGAGAAGUGGGUUUUUUUCCAGUAUACAUGGGAGCAACUGACAGAUUGCUCAAUGCUGAUUGAUCAUAAGGAGGUCUACUUCAAAGGAAUGCCAAUGUACAAAUGAAUGAACACUUGAAGAUGGAAUUCUCAAGGGAGAUCCAAAGCAACCUCAGUCCCUUGUUUAAGGUGAGCCACGUUAGGAUUAUCAUGGAGUUUCCAAGAACUGGUUCAAACAAGUUACUGAGGAGAGUUCUGAGGGACCAAUAAAAACUGAACCUGCUUCUCGCAGUUGACUUUAGCUGUUAUGGUGAUUUUCCCAUGUGAUCAAUCCCCUUUUUGCUCUGUUUUUAUGAUAGAUGUGGUAAGUGGGAAACAGACAAGGAAGCAGCAGUCCGAAUUGUAAUCCUCUGUUCCAUAGGUAAAUCCGUAGCUUGAGGUUCAAAUACAAAAAAUUUG
Molecule: long non-coding RNA, 1080 nt
Organism: Macadamia integrifolia
Lineage: Eukaryota; Viridiplantae; Streptophyta; Magnoliopsida; Proteales; Proteaceae
Exons: 4
Source: RefSeq, a predicted model, not a curated record